GACAGAGGGGUGCAAACGUUGUUUCGGAAUUACUGGGCGUAAAGCGUGUGUAGGCGGCUUUGCAAGUCGGAUGUGAAAGCCCCGGGCUCAACCCGGGAAGUGCACUCGAUACUGCGAGCUUGAGUGUCGGAGAGGGUUGGUGGAAUUCUCGGUGUAGAGGUGAAUUCGUAGAUAUCGGAGAGGAACACCGGUGGCGAAGGCGGCCAAGCUGGACGAACACUGACGGCUGAGAACACGAAAGGCGUGGGGAGCAAACAGG
Molecule: ribosomal RNA, 259 nt
Filed under: uncultured bacterium
Lineage: Bacteria
Description: partial 16S ribosomal RNA
Rfam family: Bacterial small subunit ribosomal RNA
Source: RNAcentral